AAAUGCGAUAAGUAAUGUGAAUUGCAGAAUUCAGUGAAUCAUCGAAUCUUUGAACGCACCUUGCGCUCCUUGGUAUUCCUUGGAGCAUGCCUGUUUGAGUAUCAUGAAAUCUUCAAAGUAAAUCUUUUGUUAACUCAAUUGGUUUCUACUUUGGUAUUGGAGGUCUUUGCAGCUUCACACCUGCUCCUCUUUGUUCAUUAGCUGGAUCUCAGUGUUAUGCUUGGUUCCACUCGGCGUGAUAAGUUAUCUAUCGCUGAGGACACUGUAAAAGGUGGCCAAGGUAAAUGCAGAUGAACCGCUUCUAAUAGUCCAUUGACUUGGACAAUACUAUUAUGAUCUGAUCUCAAAUCAGGUAGGACUACCCGCUGAACUUAAGC
This 377-nucleotide unclassified non-coding RNA is filed under the name plant metagenome. Its description in RNAcentral is "partial contains 5.8S ribosomal RNA, internal transcribed spacer 2, and large subunit ribosomal RNA". The stretch from base 1 to 104 matches the Rfam family "5.8S ribosomal RNA", at positions 51 to 154 of the family's 154-position model. The record is from RNAcentral.